RNAcentral lists this ribosomal RNA (433 nucleotides) under uncultured bacterium. Its description in RNAcentral is "partial 16S ribosomal RNA". It matches the Rfam family "Bacterial small subunit ribosomal RNA", at positions 29 to 507 of the family's 1533-position model. The record is from RNAcentral.
AACGAACGCUGGCGGCAUGCCUAACACAUGCAAGUCGAACGAGACCUUCGGGUCUAGUGUCGCACGGGUGCGUAACGCGUGGGAACCUGCCCUUAGGCUCGGAAUAACUCCCCGAAAGGGGUGCUAAUACCGGAUAAUGUCUUCGGACCAAAGAUUUAUCGGCUUUGGAUGGGCCCGCGUUGGAUUAGCUAGUUGGUAGGGUAAAAGCCUACCAAGGCGACGAUCCAUAGCUGGUUUGAGAGGAUGAUCAGCCACACUGGGACUGAGACACGGCCCAGACUCCUGCGGGAGGCAGCAGUGGGGAAUAUUGGACAAUAGGCGAGAGCCUGAUCCAGCGAUGCCGCGUGAGUGAUGAAGGCCUUAGGGUUGUAAAGCUCUUUUACCCGGGAUGAUGAUGACAGUACCGGGAGAAUAAGCUCCGACUAACUCCGUG